Molecule: ribosomal RNA, 133 nt
Filed under: uncultured bacterium
Lineage: Bacteria
Description: partial 16S ribosomal RNA
Rfam family: Bacterial small subunit ribosomal RNA
Source: RNAcentral
GGGGGAUAUUGGACAAUGGGGGGAACCCUGAUCCAGCGACGCCGCGUGAGUGAAGAAGUAUCUCGGUAUGUAAAGCUCUAUCAGCAGGGAAGAAGAAAUGACGGUACCUGAGUAAGAAGCCCCGGCUAACUAC